GUACUCACUUCGGCAGCACAUAAACUAAAAUUGGAAUGGUACAGAGAAGAUUGGCAUGGCCCCUGUGCAAGGAUACAUGUAAAUUCACCAAGUGUUGCAUAUUUUU
Molecule: small nuclear RNA, 106 nt
Organism: Saimiri boliviensis boliviensis (Bolivian squirrel monkey)
Lineage: Eukaryota; Metazoa; Chordata; Mammalia; Primates; Cebidae
Source: Ensembl